RNAcentral lists this ribosomal RNA (497 nucleotides) under uncultured bacterium. RNAcentral describes it as "partial 16S ribosomal RNA". It matches the Rfam family "Bacterial small subunit ribosomal RNA", at positions 28 to 507 of the family's 1533-position model. The record is from RNAcentral.
GACGAACGCUGGCGGCGUGCCUAAUACAUGCAAGUUGAGCGCUGAAGGUUGGUACUUGUACCAACUGGAUGAGCAGCGAACGGGUGAGUAACGCGUGGGGAAUCUGCCUUUGAGCGGGGGACAACAUUUGGAAACGAAUGCUAAUACCGCAUAAAAACUUUAAACACAAGUUUUAAGUUUGAAAGAUGCAAUUGCAUCACUCAAAGAUGAUCCCGCGUUGUAUUAGCUAGUUGGUGAGGUAAAGGCUCACCAAGGCGAUGAUACAUAGCCGACCUGAGAGGGUGAUCGGCCACAUUGGGACUGAGACACGGCCCAAACUCCUACGGGAGGCAGCAGUAGGGAAUCUUCGGCAAUGGACGAAAGUCUGACCGAGCAACGCCGCGUGAGUGAAGAAGGGUGUCGGAUCGGAAAACUCUGUUGGUAGAGAAGAACGUUGGUGAGAGUGGAAAGCUCAUCAAGUGACGGUAACUACCCAGAAAGGGACGGCUAACUACGUG